This 468-nucleotide ribosomal RNA is filed under the name uncultured bacterium. RNAcentral's name for it is "partial 16S ribosomal RNA". It matches the Rfam family "Bacterial small subunit ribosomal RNA", at positions 28 to 507 of the family's 1533-position model. The record is from RNAcentral.
GACGAACGCUGGCGGCGUGCUUAACACAUGCAAGUCGAACGGAAAGGCCCUGCUUUUGUGGGGUGCUCGAGUGGCGAACGGGUGAGUAACACGUGAGUAACCUGCCCUUGACUUUGGGAUAACUUCAGGAAACUGGGGCUAAUACCGGAUAGGAGCUCCUGCUGCAUGGUGGGGGUUGGAAAGUUUCGGCGGUUGGGGAUGGACUCGCGGCUUAUCAGCUUGUUGGUGUGGUAGUUGCUUACCAAGGCUUUGACGGGUAGCCGGCCUGAGAGGGUGACCGGCCACAUUGGGACUGAGAUACGGCCCAGAAUCCUACGGGAGGCAGCAGUGGGGAAUAUUGCACAAUGGGCGGAAGCCUGAUGCAGCAACGCCGCGUGCGGGAUGACGGCCUUCGGGUUGUAAACCGCUUUCGCCUGUGACGAAGCGUGAGUGACGGUAAUGGGUAAAGAAGCACCGGCUAACUACGUG